CAUUUAUCUUGCUGGUUCUCAUGUAUAUCCUUUCACCAGCCUCUACCCUAAUUUUGUCACAAAGGAAACUAUAUGUUGGGUGUGUUUUCAAUACUUUUAAUCAAUACAUAUAAGAAAAUGUUAUUUUCAACAGGAGUUUCAAAAGCAAUCAAUGUUAAUACUCGAAAGCCCAGGGUCAUAUACAUAAUAAACCAAUGAAAAAGGGGAAGAGAAAGCCAUUUUCUCUGCAAGAAAAACAUUUGGAU
RNAcentral lists this unclassified non-coding RNA (245 nucleotides) under Hevea brasiliensis (rubber tree). Lineage: Eukaryota; Viridiplantae; Streptophyta; Magnoliopsida; Malpighiales; Euphorbiaceae. The record is from RNAcentral.